AUGGGUUCUUGUGAUCUCUGCCACCUUAACUAUAGGGUCAUCACCCUCAUCCCCCAGGUCCCUAGCGCGGCGGAUAUCCGCCAAUUCCGCCCCAUCAUAGUGAUCAAUGUGAUCUUCCGCAUCCUAGCAAAGGGGUACGCCAAUAGGGUGACCCCUUUGGCCAACCGCAUCACUCAUCCGGAUCAGUCGGCCUUCAUACAUGGACGUUUCAUCCUUGAUGGAGUCCUUGUCUUUCACGAGGUCCUCCAUGAGGCCCGGUCCAAACACCUCAAGGUUGUCUUCCUGAAGAUUGACUUCCAUAAAUCCUAUGACACGGUCAGUUGGCCCUUCCUUCGGGAAGUAUUG
This 345-nucleotide ribosomal RNA is filed under the name Triticum aestivum (bread wheat). RNAcentral's name for it is "partial small subunit ribosomal RNA". The record is from RNAcentral. Lineage: Eukaryota; Viridiplantae; Streptophyta; Magnoliopsida; Poales; Poaceae.